RNAcentral lists this ribosomal RNA (367 nucleotides) under Austropsyche sp. L002. Its description in RNAcentral is "eukaryotic LSU rRNA". It matches the Rfam family "Eukaryotic large subunit ribosomal RNA", at positions 657 to 970 of the family's 3401-position model. Lineage: Eukaryota; Metazoa; Arthropoda; Insecta; Trichoptera; Hydropsychidae. The record is from RNAcentral.
GAACACGGACCAAGGAGUCUAGCAUGUGCGCGAGUCAUUGGGAACGAUCUUAAACCCAGAGGCGCAAUGAAAGUGAACAGCGUCGCGCUUGCGCGACCGCAGGGAAGAUGACGUGCGGACCGUCGAGGGCCGCACGUCCGCAUUCCCGGGGCGUUUCGAGAAAUGCCUCCGUUGCGAUUAUCGAGACGCACCGAGAGCGUACACGCUGGGACCCGAAAGAUGGUGAACUAUGCCUGGUCAGGUCGAAGUCAGGGGAAACCCUGAUGGAGGACCGAAGCGAUUCUGACGUGCAAAUCGAUCGUCUGAACUGGGUAUAGGGGCGAAAGACUAAUCGAACUAUCUAAUAGCUGGUUCCAUCCGAAGUUUC